RNAcentral lists this long non-coding RNA (884 nucleotides) under Danio rerio (zebrafish). Its description in RNAcentral is "lncRNA (ENSDARG00000117620.1)". Lineage: Eukaryota; Metazoa; Chordata; Actinopteri; Cypriniformes; Danionidae. The record is from RNAcentral.
AUAUUGCUUCUGGCCUAAAACAAAUUUUACGGCCAAAGCAAAAAGGCGAGCCACGCCAGAUACAGCGCUUUGGGCGAAACAUGUUGCGGUGGUUUUGGUGUAUACAGAUAGUUACGAGGAAGCCAGAGUAAAGGCUAAUCGAGCCACCGUGACAUCCAACCUGGAGAGUGACAAAGAAACCCCACUGAGACCAGUACGGCCUCCAGCUCGAUACUUAAGACAGCUGGAUAGCGGUGUUUUACAUGUUCGAGAACCAGAAACUGUGUCUGACAGGGAGAACCAAUAUGAAGCUGGUGUGCCUGAAGAAGAUGCUCUUGCAUCAGCCAGUGAAACCAGUUUGUGUCCAUUACUUGAGCAUUCUCGGAGGCACUACCCCUGGGGAGGCCAUCAGAAGGGCACUGCGUGCCAUCGGAGACAACAAAAUUUGGGCUCAAUACAGCUUUAAAGGCAGAAAGGGGAAAAAGACUUUUCAAGACCUGGAGAUUUGCAGUGUCAUAAUUCAAGCUUGUCAAAAGAUGCACACAAAAACUUCAACGAAGGUCCUGGAAGAGUGCAUUGCAGACACGUUAAAAUACGCACCCCAUCGAGAUGCAAAAAUGGCCAUGGCAACACCGGAUGGACAGAGCACAGCCUGAUGUUUCAAAGCUCCAAGGGCAUAGAUUUAGUUUGAAUCGUUCUUAUAAUUGUUAGAAUUCAAGUAAUUGUGUUUUGUUACCUGUUAUAAUUCAAGUAAUUGUGUUUUGUUACCUGUUAUAAUUCAAGUAAUUGUUGUUUUGUUACCUAUUACAAAUAUUGAUAUUUUAAUUGUAUUUUAAAUAAACAGAAGCAUAUGCAUCUUAAUAAAGCAAAUUUGUUCAUUUAUUAAUUUUCCUUCAGCUUAGUCC